This 402-nucleotide ribosomal RNA is filed under the name bacterium. RNAcentral's name for it is "partial 16S ribosomal RNA". It matches the Rfam family "Bacterial small subunit ribosomal RNA", at positions 355 to 776 of the family's 1533-position model. The record is from RNAcentral.
UGGGGAAUUUUGCACAAUGGGGGAAACCCUGAUGCAGCGACGCCGCGUGAUUUAGAAGGCCUUCGGGUUGUAAAAAUCUUUUCUAUGGGAAGAAAAUGACAGUACCAUAGGAAUAAGGACCGGCUAAUUACGUGCCAGCAGCCGCGGUAAUACGUAAGGUCCGAGCGUUGUCCGGAAUCAUUGGGCGUAAAGGGUACGUAGGCGGGUAAGCAAGUUAGAAGUGAAAUCCUAUAGCUCAACUAUAGUAAGCUUUUAAAACUGAUCAUCUUGAGGUAUGGAAGGGAGAGUGGAAUUCCUAGUGUAGCGGUGAAAUGCGCAGAUAUUAGGAGGAAUACCGGUGGCGAAGGCGACUUUCUGGCCAUAACCUGACGCUGAGGUACGAAAGCGUGGGUAGCAAACAGG